This is a non-coding RNA of Delphinapterus leucas (beluga whale), 877 nucleotides long. The record is from RefSeq and is a predicted model, not a curated record. Lineage: Eukaryota; Metazoa; Chordata; Mammalia; Artiodactyla; Monodontidae.
CUGCGGCAUGUGGGAUCUUCCUGGACUGGGGCACGAACCCGUGUCCCCUGCAUCGGCAGGCGGACUCUCAACCACUGCGCCACCAGGGAAGCCCCAUGACUGGACUCUUGACCCACCGGAGCUGGUCUGCUGCCUGGGAAGUUAACUGUGUACUUGGAGAGGCGAUAAAUGAAGCUCUGCUGCGGGGCUCAGAGAUUGGGAGAUCUCCUGUACAGACACCAAGGCUGUCCUGAGAGUCCGACCAUCCUUAGAAGCCAGAAACUUGGCCAUGGGAAGCAAAUUAAUAUUGUUUAUGUUUCAUUCAUCCGCAUAUUUAAAGGCCUCAAGGAAAUGAUUCUUAAUCUUUUCUGGGUCAUAGACCGCAAUGAGAAUUAAAAAGCUGCACGUAUGCCUAUAGCCCCACUUGCACGCUGUUUUUUGUUAUCAGGCGUGGGGUGUGGGUGUUGCAGAUUCCCUGAGCCUACUCAUGGCUCCCUUGGAAAGUUUAUGAACUGACACCAGCUCUUCCCAAGUGGGACAUCUUGAAGGUAAAGCCAGGGAGUGAAGGAUGGGGGAAGAUAUGAGUGAACAUUUUCAUCCUUUCAGACUGUUAUGCGUUUGGCCGUAAAAGGAUCAAAAGACGAGUCCUUGUGACAAUUCUUCCAGCUUCAAGUUUUUCAGAGUGAAGAACCUAUGAACCUCUUAUAAAAGCUCAAUCUGUCAUGCCUUAGGAGGCUGCCUACCAUCAUCUGUGGAAUCUCAAGAUGUGGAAUCUCAAUGCAGAACUUGAGCAAAAAUGAGGGGGAAAAAAACUGUAGACCAAUAUUCCUCAUACAUGCAAAAAUUAACAAUAUUCUAUCAAACUGAUUUCAACAAUAUAUUAAAAAAUAACACAUCA